RNAcentral lists this long non-coding RNA (1314 nucleotides) under Equus caballus (horse). RNAcentral describes it as "lncRNA (ENSECAG00000058686.1)". Lineage: Eukaryota; Metazoa; Chordata; Mammalia; Perissodactyla; Equidae. The record is from RNAcentral.
AGAAGAGUGAGUCAAAGAAGGAUGUGAGCACUGAAGAAAGGCACAGAGAGAUGCAACACUGCUGUUAUUGAAAAUGGAGGAAGGGAGCUGUGAGUCAAGGUGUGUGGGCAUUAUCUGGAAGCUGGAAAGGGCAGGGAAAGAGCUUAUCCCCUAGAGACUACAGAAAGGAGGGCAGCAUCUGCUGAUACCUUCAGUUUCUUUUAGCCCAGUGAGACCAGCGUUGGACUUUUUUGUAAAGAACUAUAAGGAAUGUGAUGACCCCUGGACAGAGAGUCUAUGCUGAUAGCCAUCAUCAAUGACAACUGAAAGAUCAAGCCCCCCCAGUACAUAGUUGUAUAUUCUAGUUGUGAGUGCUUCCGGUUGUGCUAUGUGGGACACCACCUCAGCGUGGCCUGAUGAGCGGUGCCAUGUCCGUGCCCAGGAUCCAAACCAGCAAAACCGUGGGCCCCGAAGCAGAGCGAACGAGCUUAACUACCCGGCCACAGGGCUAGCCCCUAUUAAAACUUUUUAAGUUAAAAACUGGGAUGUCAGUUGCUACCCACACUGAAUAUAAAUUUAGAAAUUCUUUCUACACUGCAUAAUCUUGCUUAUAAUCAGGUCUAUUUUAUUCCUUACUUUCUUGGUAUUUGCUCGAGUAUUUAUCAAAAGAUAAUUUGCCCAUCACUAAGAAAAGGUAAAUAUUUAAGUAAGGGAUUUUAUCACAAUCAGGGCUUUCUCACAGAAAUGGUGUAAAUUAAUGUGUCCAAAUGUCAUUUGGUAAAAAUAUGCUUCCAAAUUAGUUUUUAACAAAGUAUUCUGAUAAAAAUAAUUGAUGGAAAAAAUAACCUGACUCAAAUAUAUAAAAAAAUUAUUGAUUUUUCAUGCAUGUUUUAACAUGGAUUAAGAUAAAAUGUAUGCUCAAAUAUUUAAAAUAUACUUAUUUACAAUGUUCUGCAUUAUAUUUUCUACUUCUUCCCUGAAAGUAAUAUAAAACCUUAAAGCCUAGAUGAAAGCUAAAAUCUCAAAAAAUUGAUAGGAUUUUUUAAGUGAAUCCAAAAUAAGAAAUAUUUCUUAUGUUAUAAAACAACCACAGGGAUUUCAGUUUUUAAAUAAAUAAAAUGAUUUUGCCUUCAGGAGAUGAGUGUGGACAUUAGAGGAUUAGAAAGAAAGUAUCCAACUUGCAAACUGUUCUACUCUUAGUGAGUUUCUUUUUUAUAUUUGCUUUUAUUAUACACCAUGCUAUUGUCCUCAAAAUUGUAGCCUCAAGCUUAACACUUAAUAAACAUUUACAUGAAUAAUGGCACUAGAUGAAGAGGAUAUAUGUUAUUUAUAAAA